GCAAAGUCUGUUCGAAAACAUUCUUCGAAUCGUUGAGUAAAAUUUCAAUUUACAUGAAAUAUAUUUGUAAUUGGACAAUUUGUAGUAAAUAAUCCAGCACGUUAUCUACUAAACUGCUUUAAUUGUGACAUUUGCUUUUACAUAAUGCUGUAGAGAAAGGGCAAAAAAUAGAAUGUGUAUUGCAAUGUAUUGGUUGUUUCAUAAUUGAAGGGCAUUUGGCUAGCGUCAAAUUCUAUUAUUUUGUCUAUUUUUAAUUACAUUGCCAAGGGCGCAUUAUUCUUAACAGUCGAUAUGGCUAGGAUGAAUUAUGUGCAUAUAGACAAUGUGUUGCACGCAACUGAUACCUAGUUGUUCAAUACCUAUUUACAUUUUUUUUACUAUAUGUCAGUGCCCGAAAAGCUGGAAAAUACAAUAGAUAAUGAAGAAAUUCAGAAAUACGUAAUUUGAUGAAUUGUUGUAAAUGUCGCCAAAAAGUUGAUGUACGAAACGUGUAUGAAUAUGGCGUAUGACUUGCUUGCCAUUCAGCCUGAAACAUAGGAACAGAUCUUAUUGUUCCGCUUAGACAUAUAAUAUAUGAAGAAUAAACAUAUAAUAUAUGAAGACAUAUAAUAUAUGAAGUGAAAAGUGCUGCACAAGAUGCUGUGGAAUGGUUUUUAUCGUGAUCAUACUUAAACGUUUGAAAAUAUCAGUUAUCAAAUCCAAUUAAUAAACUCUGAAUUGUAUAAGUCAGCUGGCAAAGAUUCAACUAACUUUUCGAAAUUCGCUCUGAACAGAAUUUUCUACAGGGGAACACAUAAGGACAAAUUUAGUAAGCUCUUAACAGGUCAUUCUGAAAAAACGAAGAGCUGCAAGUUCUAACAAUGUUCCGGGCGAAAAGUUGAUCGCAGGUGCUUCCUUCCUCAAGAGCGUGGGAAGAAUCUCCUCAUGUUGAGUGUAUACAUUCAGAAUAUCGAGACUUCUCAACCCGAAGAGGAUGUCACCCACAGUGCAGCCUACGUGCAUUGAUUGUGGAAUAUAUUGACAGGUGUUCUUCACCGUCGAAAACAGAAGAUCGUAAUUUAGAGGGCGACAUAUCUGCUGGACAAAUCUCUAGCGCGAGUUAUAAAUCUGCGCAGUGAAAGACCUGUUGCCUAUUACCGACUUCCUUCCGUUGUCGCGCAGCAGGCAGCAUGUGAACAACUAAAUGCAGCACACUGAUUUCACAUGGUCUUGUUUCAUCCAUCGGAAGCAAUAUCAUGUAAAAGUGGCUCUAAUAGAAAAAAUAUUAUUGUUAUGCCUAUGUGUUUUGUAAA
Argiope bruennichi is the source of this 1292-nucleotide long non-coding RNA. RefSeq lists it as uncharacterized. The transcript is spliced from 3 exons. The record is from RefSeq and is a predicted model, not a curated record. Lineage: Eukaryota; Metazoa; Arthropoda; Arachnida; Araneae; Araneidae.